AUCCGUCGACUUUAGAAAUCGUGGAGGGUUCAAG
This 34-nucleotide transfer RNA is filed under the name Linanthus filiformis. Its description in RNAcentral is "partial tRNA-Leu". The record is from RNAcentral. Lineage: Eukaryota; Viridiplantae; Streptophyta; Magnoliopsida; Ericales; Polemoniaceae.